GAACUCCGAUUGCGAAGGCAGCGUACCGGCGCCACACUGACGCUGAGGCACGAAAGCGUGGGGAUCGAACAGGAUUAGAUACCCUGGUAGUCCACGCAGUAAACGAUGAAUGCUGGUUGUCCGGGUCGAAUGAGAUCUGGGCGGCGAAGCGAAAGCGAUAAGCAUUCCACCUGGGGAGUACGCCGGCAACGGUGAAACUCAAAGGAAUUGACGGGGGCCCGCACAAGCGGAGGAACAUGUGGUUUAAUUCGAUGAUACGCGAGGAACCUUACCCGGGCUCAAACGGGAGUGGAAUGGACCAGAGACGGUUCAGCCUACGGGCCGCUUCCGAGGUGCUGCAUGGUUGUCGUCAGCUCGUGCCGUGAGGUGUCGGCUUAAGUGCCAUAACGAGCGCAACCCCCGCCGGCAGUUGCUAACGGGCAAUGCCGAGGACUCUGCCGGGACUGCCGCCGCAAGGCGAGAGGAAGGCGGGGAUGACGUCAAAUCAGCACGGCCCUUACGUCCGGGGCGACACACGUGUUACAAUGGGCGGUACAGCGGGAAGCCAGGCGGCGACGCCGAGCGGAACCCGAAAGCCGUUCUCAGUUCGGAUCGGAGUCUGCAACCCGACUCCGUGAAGCUGGAUUCGCUAGUAAUCGCGCAUCAGCCAUGGCGCGGUGAAUACGUUCCCGGGCCUUGUACACACCGCCCGUCAAGCCAUGGGAGCCGGGGGUGCUUGAAGUGCGUCGCCGCGAGGCGCGCCCUAGAGCAAAACCGGUGACUGGGGCUAAGUCGUAACAAGGUAACCGUAA
This 791-nucleotide ribosomal RNA is filed under the name uncultured bacterium. Its description in RNAcentral is "bacterial SSU rRNA". It matches the Rfam family "Bacterial small subunit ribosomal RNA", at positions 704 to 1505 of the family's 1533-position model. The record is from RNAcentral.